Nycticebus coucang (slow loris) is the source of this 197-nucleotide long non-coding RNA. RefSeq lists it as uncharacterized. NCBI's taxonomy places the organism in Eukaryota, Metazoa, Chordata, Mammalia, Primates, Lorisidae. The record is from RefSeq and is a predicted model, not a curated record. The transcript has 3 exons.
UAGCAAUGUAAUGAUCAGAGGACACAGCUCACAGUUCACUGAAAAAAACUUUCCAAAAGGAAGAACUAGCUUUAAUAUUGAAGACAAUUUUCAAGUGUUAGAUGGGCCUAAUAAGGACUCAACUGAAAAUGAUUCAAUUUUAGGUUUUUCUUCUAAAGAUUCAGAACAUUCAUAUCAUUAUUUGGAUUAUAAUUUUA